AGGAUAAACGCUGGCGGCGUGCAUGAGACAUGCAAGUCGAACGGACGAUCGAGGCUUGCUUCGAUCGUUAGUGGCGGACGGCUGAGUAACGCGUAGGUGACCUGCCCCGAAGUGGGGAAUAACUGCCCGAAAGGGUGGCUAAUACCGCAUGUGGUGGUGCGUUCAAUCGCACCAGUAAAGCCGCAAGGCGCUUCGGGAGGGGCCUGCGUCCGAUUAGCUCGUUGGUGGGGUAACGGCUCACCAAGGCGACGAUCGGUAGGUGGUCUGAGAGGACGAUCACCCAGACUGGGACUGAGACACGGCCCAGACUCCUACGGGAGGCAGCAGUCGGGAAUUUUGCGCAAUGGACGAAAGUCUGACGCAGCAACGCCGCGUGAGGGAUGAAGGCCUUCGGGUUGUAACCUCUUUUAUCAGGGAAGAUAAUGACGGUACCUGAUGAAUAAGUCACGGCUAACUACGUGCCAGCAGCCGC
Molecule: ribosomal RNA, 472 nt
Filed under: uncultured bacterium
Lineage: Bacteria
Description: SSU rRNA
Rfam family: Bacterial small subunit ribosomal RNA
Source: RNAcentral